RNAcentral lists this long non-coding RNA (2186 nucleotides) under Numida meleagris (helmeted guineafowl). RNAcentral describes it as "lncRNA (ENSNMEG00000012193.1)". Lineage: Eukaryota; Metazoa; Chordata; Aves; Galliformes; Numididae. The record is from RNAcentral.
UUGCCUACGGAUGGUGUGACAGGAGACGUGUGUCCUGCGGGGGCAUAUUGCCCACCUGGGUCCCCCUUACCCAUCCCCUGUCCUCCAGGAACCUACAGCAAUGUGAGUGGGCUGAGAAGCCUCCAUCAGUGCUUGGACUGCCCACCUGGCCUUUAUUGCCACGGGGCAAAUACCCAAGCUCCCUCGGGACCAUGUGAACCUGGAUACUACUGUACAGGAGGUGCCAAAAGUGCUCUUCAGCAGAUGGUCAUGGAGGGGCAUUAUUCCUCAGCAGGAGCUUUCAAGCCAGAGCCGUGUCCUCUUGGCAGCUUCCAGCCUGACCGUGGUCAGUCUCAUUGCAGGGACUGUCCAGAGGGUACGUUCUGCAAUGAGACAGGUCUGGCUGAAGCCCAGCCUUGUCCAAAAGGGCAUUUUUGCUUAGGAGGAAGUUCCCUGCCUCUCCCGUGUCCAGUGGUAAGAAUCCAACAUUGUUGUGUUUUUUAAAUAGUAAUUUUCAGGAAGUUUCCAAUCCCUUGGAGGAGGGUAUUCAUUAGUUCUGUUUUUGUGCAGGGAAUGUAUGCAGAUGUGCUCGGGGCAGGUUCAUGCAAGCCCUGCCCAGCAGGCAUGUACUGCAGCAUGGCUGGUCUGGCUGAGCCAGAAGGACCUUGCCAGCCUGGGUAUUACUGCAAUCAAGGGUCCAGCAGCUCCUCACCUGUGGGCCUUUUAUUUGGAGAUCUUUGUCAACCAGGAUAUUACUGCCCUGCUGGGACAACACACCCAAAAGAGAUGGCAUGUCCUGCUGGCACCUGGAACGGCCGGAGGGGAGCCCAGGAUGCCACUUGGUGUCUUCCUUGUGCCCCUGGGUUUUUCUGCAGUAUGUCUGGCCAAGAUGCUCCCGUAGGACUUUGUGCACAAGGCUAUUACUGCACGGGAAGGGCAAAGACUGCAAAGCCAGUGGAUGGUGUCACUGGAGAUAUCUGUCCUCGAGGACAUUUCUGCCCUGCAGGCUCAGCAGCACCUUCUCCCUGCCCCAGUGGUGAAUACAGCAAUGCAACAGGUCAAGACAAAUGUUUUCCGUGUCCUGCUGGGUUCCACUGUCCUAAAGGGCUGAGACGCCGCUGUCCUCCUGGCUUUUAUUGCCCUCAGAGAACUGGAAUCAGUUUUUAUCCUUGUCCCCCUGGGACUUUCAAUCCCUCUUACGGCCUCAGCCAGGCUGAGAGGUGCCAGCAGUGCCCUGCAGGAAUGUUCUGUGAAGACUGGGGACUCUCCUCUCCAAGCGGUCCCUGCUGGCCAGGGUUCUUCUGCACAGCAGGAGCAAGUGUCCCAAACCCUGAUGGAGCCACGAACACCAGCACUGGUGGCCCAUGCCCACCUGGACACUUCUGCCCAGCUGGCACAAGUAUCCCACAGCAAUGCCCUGUGGGCACUUACUCAGACAGGUGAGCUUCUGUAUUUGCCUUUCCUCUUUGUUUUAUCCCUCUGUCCCUACUGCUGACUAUCUGGUGCCGUUCUUUCUUGCCUACAGAGUCCUUUACCCCCUUACAGUACAGCUCAGUAACGCUCAUUAAACACAUCUUUGCAUUAAUUAUGAAAGCCUCAUGGUUGUUUUCACUUGGCCAGGGGUAUAAGCAUCGAGGGUCUGCCUGCUGAACUUGUACACUUGCCAACAGAAAGCCUGAUGAUGUCUCUCCACAGGCCGUACAUGUGGCAGGAAUCCAGCUGCACGGCGUGCCCAUCUGGCCAUUACUGUGGCUCUGCUGCCCUCACAGCACCCUCAGGGCUCUGCUCAGCUGGGUACUACUGCCUGCCCGGGGCUUCCUCUCCAUCACCACAUGGUGAGUUGUACUGCAUGAACGUCAGUGUCUUCACCUGCUUGUGUCCGAUAAUGAGUGGUCUUGGCAACAGACAGCUUUAAAAAAUGCCCUCUUUUCCCCCAGUACUCCUGCCUCUCCUUCUUCUUUGUCAUUUAAGCACCUAGUUAAUUUUGUUGGUGCUAUUUAUACCAGUGCACACACGCCAAGGAUGAAGAAGCAGGCAGUCCACCAAUCCAUGUUACUGAAUGAAACACUUUCACUGAACACUGGGAAAGUUCUGGCUACCAGAAUAUAGUGCAAGUGGCCCAGUUCCCUCUUGUCUCUUUAUUGUGCGUCAGAAAUAACGAUUUCCAGGGAAGAAUUCCAGGUCCCCAGUGGACAACUAAAUAUUCU